AUCUAUCUAUCUAUCUAUUUACAUCCCUACCUACCUACCAACCAACCUUCCUGCUCAAUAUCCAAUCAAUCUCUAUGAGAAUAAACAUCACCAUCUAGCUACCCAGCUAUCUAUCAAUGCUAGCCUACUAGCUUACUAGCUGACUACCUGGCUACCUGUCUAUCUAUCUUCUGACCUGCUGGAAUGAACGAUAUCUAGCGAUGAUAUCUAGCGAUGGGACUCCGCACUCUCGCUCCGUCCUGUCCAGCUGCAUGUUUCAUGAAGCUCCUGCUAUAAGGUGUUGUGCCUGAGCUGUCCAACCCUUUGAAGCAAUUAAUGAUGUCUUUCAUCCCCUGGGAUUUAGAGGUUCGUUUGCUCACCCCCCCAGAAGAAGGGUGAUAGAGGCAGGCUGCUCCUUUUCUUAAAAAUAGAGUGAUUGGAAACUGUGAGAGAUAAUAAUAUAAAGAGUGAAUAAUUGAAGAUAGUAGAAGAUGAUAAAUAAUAGGAAUAUUCGCAAGGAGUACAAUAAAAAGUAGAUAGGAGUUACAGUAAUCACGA
RNAcentral lists this small RNA (537 nucleotides) under Histoplasma ohiense. RNAcentral describes it as "hypothetical lncRNA". Lineage: Eukaryota; Fungi; Ascomycota; Eurotiomycetes; Onygenales; Ajellomycetaceae. The record is from RNAcentral.